CAAUAAUCUUCCCCACACCAAAUACCCUACCCGCCGCCCAUCAUAGUACUCACCAACCAUCUUCUCUCGAAAGGCUUCGUCUUUACUGUCGUUCGUCCAACCCAUUCUGCCCAAGUCAUUUGGUUGUCGUGCGUCGUGGAGCACAUUUCGGUCAUAUCUCUUUGUCUACAAGCUUCGUUCGCCAUCGUGUCUUCGUUUUGCCAACCGUUCGAUCUUUGCGCAUUUUCACCGUCGCACGCAUUCGUCGACCAUUUCCAUAUGUUUGUCUUAGGUGAACCCGAGAUGUUCAGCUUCGCGAGCCGCAUCCUCCAUUCGUGCAAGCAAGCUGAUUCCUCUCUACUUCAAGCCGCAUGCAUACCUUCGAGCUGUUUCCUUGCAGUGAGCCAAAUUGAGCCAAUUUCCUAUUUUUGGUUAUUAUUUUGGUCACUGAAGACUAGUUCCUCUUAGGAGUCCCUUCAGGAUCACCGAAGACCAUAUGUGUUUCUUGAGAAUCACUAGAUAGCGUGCAUUUGAGAGCAUGAUAGUUAUGAGGUGUUCAGAUCCUGACUGCAAGAGUUCAGGCCCUAGUUGUAGCCCAGAAUGUACAUGAUCAGUUGUCAGCAAAAGCCAAGCACUUUAGGGAUUUCAGGAAGUAUAACCCUUGAACUUUCGAUGGAUCCUUGGACGACCCUACCAAGGCACAAAUGUGGUUGACCUCUAUGGUUAUAUUUCGCUAUAUGAAGUGUCCCAAUGACCCAGAAGGUUCAGUGGGUCGUGUUCAUGUUGAUUGACAGAGGUACGACCUGGUGGGAGUCUACUGAGAGGAUUUUAGGUGGAAAUAUAAACUAGAUCACCUGGGAACAAUUUAAGGAGAAUUUUUAUGCUAAAUUCUUCUCUGCUAUUCUAAGGGAUGCCAAGCGCCAGGAGUUCUUGAGACUGGAGCAAGGCAAUAUGUCUGUAGAGCAGUAUGAUCAGGAGUAUGAUAUGUUAUCACACUUUGCUCUUGAAAUGGGAAAGAUCAAGCCUGACAGAGCCGACAAAUUCGUUGGAGGCCUUAAGUUGGAGCUUCAGGGUUUCGUUCAAGCUUUUAGGCCAGCUACCCAAGCUGAUGCACUACACCUUCUUGCUCGUCCCAAGACAUGGCGUGAUGUUAGCCGAAGUCAUUCGCCUCUUGAACAACCUCAACUAACACAUAACAUGGAAUCGUGAAACAAUUAACAACAUAAGUCUUUUAACUUGAAAUACUUAAAACCGUAGUGUAACCCACUUGAAAUCUUUUAUAAAAUAUAACAUGGAUAAUGAACCAAACAUGAAUAAAUAAGUGUUUGGACAGUUACAUGACUAUUUUGAAACAAACAAUGUUCUUGUACAAUGACAAACUAAGUUGACCUGACAGUAGUAUGUUCAGCAUACAGAGAUCCACAAUUUGUACCUGGAAGGUGAGAAAACAUUUUUUAAAAGGUAAGUCAAGAGACUUAGUGAGCAACGAUUUUAUGUAGCCAUAUAAAGAAAAAAUAUGUCAUGUGCAAGAACCUCUCAACUGUGCCAUGACCUUGUCAUGUGUAUGUAACUUGAUCCAAAAUAACCUCUAUAAAGAAAAAAUAUGCCCAUCUUGCCCACACAUGCCUAACUCACGGCCACUACCCAGUCAGUAUUUAAAUAUAUUCAGAAACAUGACUCAUCUUUGAAAAAUCAUAACAUAAAAUCCACAACUCUUUUGACAAUCCUUAAUUCUACAAAGUUUCUCUAAAAUGAGUUAUCUUUCUUACCUCAGAAUUUCAGAAUCAAAUUCUAAAAGCCGAGUCCUAUAGCCCACUUGGCAUGAACCUUGCUCAAAUUCACCUAAGAAAUGACCUCACCUUCUCUGGAUCAAAACACAAAAUUUCUUGAAUCCAAAAUGCAUAGAAGCCCUUAAUCAAAAACUAAACACAAAUUCUUAACUUUCAAGACUAAUUUGAGUAAUUUUGCACAAAUGAGUUGUGAGAAAUUGAUUGCUUGAAACUAGCCUAUUUAUAGAGUCCCUUACAUGAGAUUAUUGUGACACUUAAUUCGUGAUUAGACUCACCUCUUAACCUGGUAAUUACACCUAAUCACCUCCUCCAUGUCCUACUUGGUCGCAAAAUGCAUGAUGACAUGGUUGUGAUACUUGGAUUUACUUUACUUCGUUUAUUCACAACAUGCCACAUACUUGAUCCAAACGCCUAGCUACACUAAAAAUUUUACCUUUGCCGACGAAACGCAUGUCAACGCCCCUAAAUUUCGUCGGUAGAAGUGGUUUACACCAACAUAUUAUUUUGGCUUUGGCAAUAAGUGGAAUCGUUGAUAGUCUAUUUUAUAGCGUUGUCAUAGAUAGGUUUUGUCGACGACAUAUUUUUGUUCUGUCGGCAUAUUUAGACAUAUGUUGACAAUGUAUUAUCACCGUAUGCUUAAGUAAAAAAAGGCCAAUGAAUUUAAAAUAACCGUUGGUAGUUCGUUUAAAACAAAAAAUUUCCUAGUUCACGAUUUUCCCCCAAAUCUCCUUCUUCUUCUUUCUCUUAUGCUGCCACCCCUUCCCUUCCCCUUCACGGUUUUUGCUCUCUUUUCUUCCUCCCACACACGCCGACCACCCCUUCCCUUUCACCAUUUUCCCUAAUUUUUCUCCUUCCCACAUAGUCACCCACCUUUUCCCUUCCCCUUCACCAUUUUUCCUCAUCCUUCUCCCUCCCACACAGUCGACCACCCCUUCCCUUCCCCAUCGCCAUUUUCCUCACUUUCCCACGCACGAACUGCCCAGGCUUAACUUUUUCUAGACAGUGUGGAUGAUUGUGUGCCUAACAUUUUUUUGGACAGAGUGUGGACGGCUGCCUCCCUCCAUCGCACCCUCUGCCGCCCCCUUUUUUUUCUAGACAGUGUGGACGGUCGCCCCUUCAUUUUUCUCAUUAUCCUUUUUAUUCUAAUUAAGUAAGUUUAACUUAGAUCUAUUUAUUUAUUUUACAUGUUUUAUAUGAAAAAAUAAUAGAUCUGCUAUGAUUUACAUGUUUUUAUAAGGAAAUUAUAGACAAUUAUUUUGAAAUGUAUAAUCCAAACAUACACAUGUUUCUUAUUUCUACGCUCUAUGACACACUUUUGGAGGUGACUUUACCUUCUUUUGCUACCCACAUAACCUAAAUAUCUUAAGACCUAAUUUUGACACUUAGCUAAAUUUUUCCAACUUUUCUCUUAUUCUUAAACCUAAACAUGAGUUGCAAAUUUUUUACUUUAUUUUUUCAUUCUCUUGUCCUUGACCCAUCCUAGCAAAUCCAAAGGUUAAAUAAAUUUUAGGUUUCACAUUUACAAAAGAAGAAAAAUUGGGGAAGAUGAUGAAUAGUGAAAGUGCACGCUUUACGAGAUCCUUGAUACAAUAAAAUAAUAAUAAUAACUAUUACUAUUAUUAACUCAUUUUUACUUUCCCAAAUAUUUUCAUCUACCCUCUUUAAAUUUAAAAACUAAUAAAUCUUAUUCUUUCUCCUCAUUAAAUUCUCUAUCAUCCAAUCAACUUUUUCUCUUUCCCACACUAUAACAAUAUAUUAUUCUUAAUAAUUAUAUUAUCCUCAAUAAUAUAAUUGUUCUUAACCUUUCCCUAUUAACUAUAUAUAUAUACAUACAUAUAUAAUUAAUCAAUAUCCUUAAAACUCGCCAAAUCAAAUUACCAAUUUCAAUAAUUAAUUAAAUAUUCUUCCACUAAAUAGUUAAUUAAUCCUAAUUUUCACAAAAUCAACAAUUACCAUCGAUUAUCUAAAAUAACACCAAAAAAUCCAACAUAAAUAAAUUUCACUAAGAUAAUUAAAUGUAAAAUUAACUUAAUUUUUAGGGUGUUACAUUUAUUGAUUUCAUUAGUUAUAUGCUUGUGUUAAUGAUAUCAUUGUAUUUGUAAGUUUGGGCCUACGAGAUAGUGUUGUCCAUCAGUGGUCGAGUUGUCUAUAGGGAGUUAUCAUCUACGAUACCACGCAUCAUGCAAUGAAGUUGCACAAACUCACCUGGGUUGAAGGUGAUUAGGUCUCAGGUUUUCGAGUCUUAAAUGGUACAUUAUGAUUCAUUUUCUUCCUCCACAUUCAAUAUAGUAUUCUAGGGUUUUGUAUCUUAAUUAACACAAGUUGAUGUUCCAAUUCCAACCCAUAUACAUGAGAUUGAACCUACAGAUGACUAACGUACUUACCUUGAUCGGAGUCUUAAAAUUCCUAGCUACAAGGAAGGCCCGCAUGACCCUCAUCCUCAGCACUUCGAGCAUGCCUCACCACGCAUUCAUGUCGAGCAUCCCCCCUCCUCCUCAUAUCCAGCAUCCCCAUUCUCUUCCUUGGGAUGAUGGUUACCCCUCCACAUCUACGAAGCGGCCUAUUUAGACUGAUAGACUCUGGAUGAUGUGUGAUUGCAGCCAACAUAUACGUCACCUAAAAGGGAGAUUAGAUUAGAUGAAGGACUUUUUAAAACGAAUGGAGUCAUCAGUGUUAUCAAUUAUAAAUGAGCUUUUGAUGGCAUUGAUUAAGGUAAGGUAGUUGACUCCCAACCAUGCUAUGAUGGUGGUGAGAGUACGUCCUUCAAUGCAUCAGAGGCUCAAACUCUGGUUGGCAACGUAUUCAUUAGAUGUUCCUACUUUUAUCAAUGAUGAACAGCCUACUGACAAGGAGACAGGAACAUCCGUUAGUGACAACCCCAAAUAUGGUAUCAUAUCGAUCGACGUACCAUCAAGGGGCGAGGAUGUGCGACCACUACCUCCCCAACCCAUGCUAGAGCCGAAGGAUGAGUCUAUUGAGUUUGAUGUGGAGGUCAUCUCACCUUUAGUUUUUCCAGAUGUCAUACUUAAGGAAAGGACGACAAGGAAGAGAGGUAUACCCUGGAAAUUGUGAUUCUCAAUUAUCGAACAAGGACAAGGGGCUAAGAUAAGAAAGAGGGUGCGCCCCUACAAUCCUGUUUGCAAGAUCCUCAUGAAGUUUGAUAAACAAUUCUCGGCAUACCUCACUGACCCUUGGAGAGAGGAGUUAUAGAAUAGGGUUAGAUGCUCGAGGGCCCUUUUAUGGUUCCUAGACCUUCUAACCCCACAAACAUUCACGGACGACAACGUAUGUAUUUAGGGGUGUAAAUGAGUUGGGUUGGGGGACAUUCUCAACCUAACCCAUACAUUUUGGAUUGGUUGGGUUGGCAACCCGAAUUGUAUUACAAACCUAGCCCAACCUAACCCUUAAAAUAUGGGUUGGGUUGGGUUUUGAGUUUUUGUUUUUUUAAACGACGACUUUCAAAUUUGAUACAUGAUCUUGGGGUCUUAGUUGCACCAAGAUACCUCGAGAUGAAAGAAUUAUAUCUUUAAUUUAUUCAAUCUUGGACAUA
Molecule: long non-coding RNA, 5319 nt
Organism: Cucumis sativus (cucumber)
Lineage: Eukaryota; Viridiplantae; Streptophyta; Magnoliopsida; Cucurbitales; Cucurbitaceae
Exons: 5
Source: RefSeq, a predicted model, not a curated record